Molecule: ribosomal RNA, 442 nt
Filed under: Parvimonas micra
Lineage: Bacteria; Bacillati; Bacillota; Tissierellia; Tissierellales; Peptoniphilaceae
Description: bacterial SSU rRNA
Rfam family: Bacterial small subunit ribosomal RNA
Source: RNAcentral
GACGAACGCUGGCGGCGUGCUUAACACAUGCAAGUCGAACGUGAUUUUUGUGGAAAUUCUUUCGGGAAUGGAAAUGAAAUGAAAGUGGCGAACGGGUGAGUAACACGUGAGCAACCUACCUUACACAGGGGGAUAGCCGUUGGAAACGACGAUUAAUACCGCAUGAGACCACAGAAUCGCAUGAUAUAGGGGUCAAAGAUUUAUCGGUGUAAGAAGGGCUCGCGUCUGAUUAGCUAGUUGGAAGGGUAAAGGCCUACCAAGGCGACGAUCAGUAGCCGGUCUGAGAGGAUGAACGGCCACAUUGGAACUGAGACACGGUCCAAACUCCUACGGGAGGCAGCAGUGGGGAAUAUUGCACAAUGGGGGGAACCCUGAUGCAGCGACGCCGCGUGAGCGAAGAAAGGUUUUUCGAAUCGUAAAAGCUUCUGUCCCUAUGAGAAAG